UAGGGAAUCUUCCACAAUGGACGAAAGUCUGAUGGAGCAACGCCGCGUGAGUGAAGAAGGUUUUCGGAUCGUAAAGCUUUGUUGUUGGUGAAGAAGGAUAGGAGCAGUAACUGGUUUCUAUUUGACGGAAAUCAACCAGAAAGUCACGGCUAACUACGUGCCAG
This 164-nucleotide ribosomal RNA is filed under the name uncultured bacterium. RNAcentral describes it as "partial 16S rRNA". It matches the Rfam family "Bacterial small subunit ribosomal RNA", at positions 355 to 511 of the family's 1533-position model. The record is from RNAcentral.